This 85-nucleotide transfer RNA is filed under the name Planctomycetota bacterium. RNAcentral's name for it is "Planctomycetes bacterium (marine metagenome) tRNA-Leu". It matches the Rfam family "tRNA". Rfam says of the family: Transfer RNA (tRNA) molecules are approximately 80 nucleotides in length. Their secondary structure includes four short double-helical elements and three loops (D, anti-codon, and T loops). Further hydrogen bonds mediate the characteristic L-shaped molecular structure. tRNAs have two regions of fundamental functional importance: the anti-codon, which is responsible for specific mRNA codon recognition, and the 3' end, to which the tRNAs corresponding amino acid is attached (by aminoacyl-tRNA synthetases). tRNAs cope with the degeneracy of the genetic code in two manners: having more than one tRNA (with a specific anti-codon) for a particular amino acid; and 'wobble' base-pairing, i.e. permitting non-standard base-pairing at the 3rd anti-codon position. The record is from RNAcentral. Lineage: Bacteria; Pseudomonadati; Planctomycetota.
GCUCAGGUGGCGGAAUUGGCAGACGCGCUAGGUUCAGGUCCUAGUUCCCGCUAAGGGAGUGAAGGUUCGAAUCCUUUCCUGAGCA